CGAGUAUCUAACCGUAUUCCCUCUCUCUUCGCCCGCCAGACGAACUAGCUCUCUCCCUCUCCCUCUCCCUCUCUAGCUCCUGAUUUCUCUCCUCCGAAAUGGGCCUUGAUAGACCACCGUGCAUUGGAAGGAAAUUCCCACCAGCGGUGGAAAGACCCAUCACAGCCCCUGCAUAUCGCCUAAAUUGCAACUCGUUUCCUACCCACUGCAACUCCCGACCGCCCGUCUGAACCCAUCACCGAACCCUCUAGCCAAAUUGCAACCUUGCCGAUCAUCUUCCCCGUUGUUGGUCUCAACCAUUGCUGCAAACUCGCGCUCAAACCACCUGCGAAUCGCCCCUACCGUGGCCGAUACUAGAAGCUGAAACCUCUGCCCUGCACAAUCCCCCUGCCAAUCGCACCCAAACCCCCUGCCAAUCGCGUCCAAACCCCCUUCCAUUCACGGCCAAACCUCCUGUCAAUCUCCCUUCCAUUCACGCCCGCACCCCCAUUGCCGCACCUGAAGCAUCUUUUUCACCUGCUCGAUCUCGAUCUCGAUCCGAUGACCCAUUGUCGCUGCCACUGCCGCCCAGAUUUCAUUCUGCCACUGCCUUAGCUACUACCAUCCCGACCCUAUUAAUCCCGAUCUGUUGUGCCACCGCCACUGCCACUCGACUCCAUCUUCUCCCCUGUUAGGGUUGACACCGCUGCCCUCAUUGUCGAUUAAGAGUUUCUGCAAACUUUCGAGAGGAGGUUGCCAAUCACAAUCCAGUUCAGAUCGUUGGUCAUUCACUUCAGAUCUCUGGCCAUCCAGUGCAGAUUGAAGCUCACUUCAGAUCAUUGGUCAUCCAGUGCAGAUUGCAGCUCACUUCAGAUGCAGAUUACAACAGAUUUCGAUAACAAGUUACAGCAGAUUUCUAUGGCAGAUUGGUUUAGAUGGAAUUCGUAUGCUUGACCCCAAUACUAACCGGACACUAAGAAUAUAUCCACUUGAAAUAGUGACAAGAUGGGAAGUAAAUGAGCCAUCUACCUAUACUUUUUGGGCUAAAAGCCCUGUUUACAUUGAACCAAGGCGCAUAAUGUUGCAAUGAAACAGCCAUACUGAUACCACAAAUACCAUUCUUGACACUGUUACAGCGGCAACUAUUCAAUUCAGGUCCUCUCGUUCAUUGCACUUCUUUCACCUUUAUAUUUGUGGAAAUAAAGUUUUUUUUGUUUGCAGGAGCUGCUUUUAGUCAUUGCAAGAGGUUCGCCUUUGACUUCGGCCACCGUAGCAAGAUGAGAUAUGGGGGAGGUUCUGAGUUGGUGAUUGUUGACAAAUUUGGACUCUAGAUCAUCUUUUUAUGGAUUUGAAGGUGGCGAGACAAGAAGAGUUUAGCCUAAUUAAUACAUAUACUCAGUGGGUAGAUUAACUCAUGCAUGUGGUUGCUGAUUUCAUUAAUCAAGUGAGGGUACUUCAAUGUGGAGGGGAUUUGGAGACCAUAGUUAGAGAGUAAAAACACAAAUGCGAAGGUGUGUAUUCCUCACCAGCAAUGGGUGGCCUUGCUAGUGAAGACACCAAUGGUUGUAUUAUUCAAUUGUUGGAAUGCAAUAGAGAGACUAGAGUUAAUGUAGAAAUUAUGGAAUUAUGUGGUCAUUCGCAUCUAGACAACUUUAUGGAUUGGCUAAGUUGGAGAAAUGGCUUGAAUACAUGUAAAAUCAUCAAUAAUUGAAGGGUUAAAGUGGUCACUGUUGUUAUUACACAUUAGCAUUAGGGGAGGAUCUUCAAGCUAAAUGAAUCCGUCAAGGUAAGGGGAAAAUAAUUUCUGGAAAAAAGAUGAAGAAAUUAGAAGGGUGUUCUUAUACGUGAUUUAUUCCCAUGACCUUUGUCAAAGAUGUAAUCUUUGUCGAGGAAAUAAAUUGUUGUAUGGAUGUUUGGAUGAAUUCUAUACAUUGACAUCACGAAUGAGGUUUUACAAGUAUGAAGACCAUAAAAUUUUAAUUUUCAUAAUAACGAAUUUCAAUUUUCAUUAUAUCACAAUGGUCUUAAUUAGGGUAUAUGGAUAACGUGUUUAAAAUGUCUGACGCAUACGUACUUGCAUUAAAAGCAAAGGAAACUAAGUGGGGACUUGGGAGAUGAUUUUAUGUCAGCUGAGGACCAUCAUCAACAAGGUGCAACAAGUUAACUUCCCUCCCAAGGCAACCACACAACAUUCCAUAGGUUGAGGACGGGAAUCAGCUAUGCAAAGCUAACAAAUCUUCCUCCAAUUAUCGGGCUGAGUCACUACUUUCUUCUGUUUCUUUCAAACUUGAUUUCUGUAGAAGAUCUAAAGUCAUUUUUUUUUUUUUUUCUGAAUUGGAUGUAUAGAUUCAAUUUUUGUCCCACCAUUGGUAUAUUCUAUUCUUGGGAGCUCAAGAGAUCUUGCAGUGGGCCCCGUUUCAAUUGUGUCUUUGGUCAUGCUCAGAGGGAUGGUUUCUCCUGUCACUAUUUUGUCUAAUUCAGGUUUUUGUAGAAUGGGUUUGUCUGAAUUUUUUGUUUUUCUAUAAAUUUGAUAAUGUAAUAACCUUUGU
Long non-coding RNA from Magnolia sinica, 2528 nucleotides. RefSeq lists it as uncharacterized. Lineage: Eukaryota; Viridiplantae; Streptophyta; Magnoliopsida; Magnoliales; Magnoliaceae. The record is from RefSeq and is a predicted model, not a curated record. The transcript has 5 exons.